This 253-nucleotide ribosomal RNA is filed under the name uncultured bacterium. RNAcentral's name for it is "partial 16S ribosomal RNA". It matches the Rfam family "Bacterial small subunit ribosomal RNA", at positions 524 to 776 of the family's 1533-position model. The record is from RNAcentral.
UACGGGGGGGGCAAGCGUUGUUCGGAAUUACUGGGCGUAAAGGGUUCGUAGGUGGCUCGCUAAGUCAGUCGUGAAAUCCCUCAGCUUAACUGGGGAACUGCGUCUGAGACUGGCAAGCUCGAGUGCAGGAGAGGAACGCGGAAUUCCAGGUGUAGCGGUGAAAUGCGUAGAUAUCUGGAGGAACACCGGUGGCGAAGGCGGCGUUCUGGACUGCAACUGACACUGAUGAGCGAAAGCCAGGGGAGCAAACGGG